CAGGACGCAUGUGGCUUCUGUUGGUGUGAGCUGACAGUGCCCCAAACAGAACUUCAGUGUGCCCCAGGGAGGACACAGAAUGUAGUAUCUUCCCUGCAGGGGGGAUCUCCAGGUUUUGUGGGGCCUGAAGCCGAAACAAUUUGGAGGGCUCGGACCAUCAAGGGGCCUCAUGUGCGAGAGGGGCCCUGGAGCUUAAGUGUCAUUAACUUGGUAGGAAGUCUGCUUGCCUGGUGAGACUGGGUUUGCCCUGCCUACAGCCCAGUUUUGCUUCCAAAUGACUUAAAUUACAUGUUUUCCCUUCUUGCCUUUUGCAAAUGCAUUAAAAUUUACGAAUUGAACAAUAAAAUCGUCAUUCAAUAACAUAGUCAUUUUUGGCAAAAUGGCUCGUUUAACCCUCCCCUACUCAAAUUGCUAACAAUGCAUGACGGAACGAAAGAGGCCAAACCCCACGAACCUCGUCUGCAGUGUGGAGCUGGGUAGGGCGGUGGGGGGUGGGGGGAUUCUUCUAGCAUUUAUUGAGUCUGCCUGUACAGACAUCGUGCUGGGUGCUUGCGUUGUAUUAUUUCAUCUUUUUUUACUCAUCUAUAAGGUCAGGAGUGUGGCUAAAGGCCAUUUCUGAUGAGGUUAUGAGCUUCCAAAGUGUUUCUAAAUCCUUAGUGCAGACACCCUCCCUUUUGGGGCAUAGUAACCUCCCUCCCACCCCUAUUAAAAAAAAAAAAGAAAAGAAAAAGAAAAAAAAAAAACCUAAACAGUGAUCAGAAUGAGAUGUUUUGAUUCCAACCAAUUUACACUCAAGGCUUUGUGCUGAAUUGUCUGGUUCUGACCCAAGCAUGAUGGUAUCAAACACAAAGCACACAGCAAAGGAAAGAUGCUCCCAUCUCAUUCUGAAAAAAAUAAUAUUGAUAACCAAUUGCCUCCCCCCUCCCUCCAGCCACUGGGGCCCACCCAUAUGAUGAUGCUAGGACCAACUUGAAAAUAAUUAAGAGACAUAUUUAGAUUUCCUUCUCCCUUAACUUCUUCCCAUGGGAGAUCAUUUUAGAGUAAGUUUAUUCCAUUCCCAAAGGAAAGCCAAGAAAGUUUCUCCAUCAAAAUAUACGGGAAGAGAAAAACUAAACAGGCCCAGAGGCAUCAAGGUGUGUAACGAUCCAUAAACCAUUACACAACUACUACACCACAGGCCAAACCAUGAGAUGGACAUAAUUUAAGUAUUAAAAAUAGGGAAGUCUCAUUCAAAUAAACCACUGGAAAAAAAAUACCGCCA
RNAcentral lists this long non-coding RNA (1261 nucleotides) under Felis catus (domestic cat). RNAcentral describes it as "lncRNA (ENSFCAG00000048721.1)". The record is from RNAcentral. Lineage: Eukaryota; Metazoa; Chordata; Mammalia; Carnivora; Felidae.